GAGACUGUAAAGUGGAGCGAAACCCAGAAAAGUACUCUCAGUUCAGAUUGUGGGCUGCAACCCGCCCACCAUGAAGUUGGAGUUGCUAGUAAUCGCGGAUCAGCAUGCCGCGGUGAAUACGUUCCCGGGCCUUGUACACACCGCCCGUCACACCAUGGGAGUUGGGAGCGCCCGAAGCCGGUGAGGUAACCGAGAGGAGCCAGCCGUCGAAGGUGAGACCAAUGACUGGGGUGAAGUCGUAACAAGGUACC
RNAcentral lists this ribosomal RNA (251 nucleotides) under uncultured bacterium. RNAcentral describes it as "partial 16S ribosomal RNA". It matches the Rfam family "Bacterial small subunit ribosomal RNA", at positions 1251 to 1500 of the family's 1533-position model. The record is from RNAcentral.